CACUACAGUUACUUCAUUGGAUGAAAGAUCUUGUCUGAGCUCAGAAGCUAAGCAGGGUUGGGUGUGGUUAGUACUUGGAUGGGAGACCACCUGGGAAUGUCAGGUCCUGUGGCAG
This 115-nucleotide ribosomal RNA is filed under the name Amphilophus citrinellus (Midas cichlid). The record is from RNAcentral. Lineage: Eukaryota; Metazoa; Chordata; Actinopteri; Cichliformes; Cichlidae.